RNAcentral lists this ribosomal RNA (1014 nucleotides) under Cutibacterium acnes HL110PA1. RNAcentral describes it as "bacterial SSU rRNA". It matches the Rfam family "Bacterial small subunit ribosomal RNA", at positions 259 to 1282 of the family's 1533-position model. The record is from RNAcentral. Lineage: Bacteria; Bacillati; Actinomycetota; Actinomycetes; Propionibacteriales; Propionibacteriaceae.
AGUGGCUUACCAAGGCUUUGACGGGUAGCCGGCCUGAGAGGGUGACCGGCCACAUUGGGACUGAGAUACGGCCCAGACUCCUACGGGAGGCAGCAGUGGGGAAUAUUGCACAAUGGGCGGAAGCCUGAUGCAGCAACGCCGCGUGCGGGAUGACGGCCUUCGGGUUGUAAACCGCUUUCGCCUGUGACGAAGCGUGAGUGACGGUAAUGGGUAAAGAAGCACCGGCUAACUACGUGCCAGCAGCCGCGGUGAUACGUAGGGUGCGAGCGUUGUCCGGAUUUAUUGGGCGUAAAGGGCUCGUAGGUGGUUGAUCGCGUCGGAAGUGUAAUCUUGGGGCUUAACCCUGAGCGUGCUUUCGAUACGGGUUGACUUGAGGAAGGUAGGGGAGAAUGGAAUUCCUGGUGGAGCGGUGGAAUGCGCAGAUAUCAGGAGGAACACCAGUGGCGAAGGCGGUUCUCUGGGCCUUUCCUGACGCUGAGGAGCGAAAGCGUGGGGAGCGAACAGGCUUAGAUACCCUGGUAGUCCACGCUGUAAACGGUGGGUACUAGGUGUGGGGUCCAUUCCACGGGUUCCGUGCCGUAGCUAACGCUUUAAGUACCCCGCCUGGGGAGUACGGCCGCAAGGCUAAAACUCAAAGGAAUUGACGGGGCCCCGCACAAGCGGCGGAGCAUGCGGAUUAAUUCGAUGCAACGCGUAGAACCUUACCUGGGUUUGACAUGGAUCGGAAGCGCUCAGAGAUGGGUGUGCCUCUUUUGGGGUCGGUUCACAGGUGGUGCAUGGCUGUCGUCAGCUCGUGUCGUGAGAUGUUGGGUUAAGUCCCGCAACGAGCGCAACCCUUGUUCACUGUUGCCAGCACGUUAUGGUGGGGACUCAGUGGAGACCGCCGGGGUCAACUCGGAGGAAGGUGGGGAUGACGUCAAGUCAUCAUGCCCCUUAUGUCCAGGGCUUCACGCAUGCUACAAUGGCUGGUACAGAGAGUGGCGAGCCUGUGAGGGUGAGCGAAUCUCGGAAAGC